CCUACGGGUGGCAGCAGUGAGGAAUAUUGGUCAAUGGACGAGAGUCUGAACCAGCCAAGUAGCGUGAAGGAUGACUGCCCUAUGGGUUGUAAACUUCUUUUAUAAAGGAAUAAAACGAGGCACGUGUGCCUUUUUGCAUGUACUUUAUGAAUAAGGAUCGGCUAACUCCGUGCCAGCAGCCGCGGUAAUACGGUGGGUCCGAGCGUUAUCUGGAUUUAUUGGGGUUAAAGGGAGCGCAGAUGGGUUGUUAAGUCAGUUGUGAAAGUUUGGGGCUCAACCGUAAAAUUGCAAUUGAUACGGGCAGUCUUGAGUACUGUAGAGGUGGGUGGAAUUCGUGGUGUAGCGGUGAAAUGCGUAGAUAUCACGAAGAAUACCGAUUGCGAAGGCAGCUUACUGAACAACCACUGACAUUGAUGCUCGAAAGUGUGGGUAUCAAACAGGAUGAGAUACCCGGGUAGUC
This 460-nucleotide ribosomal RNA is filed under the name uncultured bacterium. Its description in RNAcentral is "partial 16S ribosomal RNA". It matches the Rfam family "Bacterial small subunit ribosomal RNA", at positions 338 to 795 of the family's 1533-position model. The record is from RNAcentral.